Molecule: non-coding RNA, 1020 nt
Organism: Arachis ipaensis
Lineage: Eukaryota; Viridiplantae; Streptophyta; Magnoliopsida; Fabales; Fabaceae
Source: RefSeq, a predicted model, not a curated record
AGCCGUCAUUCACACUGCGUUACGCUCCUCUCUUCUGUCCUCUCUUCGACUCUAUCUCUCUCAAACCGUUUCCUCUCAUGAAUUCAUCACCGCCGACCGCCACCGCCACCUCCUACCGCUGAGCCCCUCACCAACAACGCUCAGAUCCUCUCCUCUCAGUCUCGACGUCACAACAUCAGUGAGUCGUCGCCGUUAGAGCGUCCAAGCCUCUGCGCCACUUCUCAUUCUUCGUCGUCUUCGCCGUUGGAGUGUUCGAGCCUCUACGUCGCUUCUCAGCCAUCGCCGAUCUUCACCGAUAUCCGACCCUCUUUUCUUUCUUCUGAUAGGAUUCAAGUAAAUCAGAAUCCACAUCACUACCAUUACAACUAUUACAAGAUGAAGAAGGCUUAAGAAUUACUGAAAAUUAUGUUUCUAUGAUGUGAUAAAUUAUGUUUGGUUGUUUAUGGAUUAUGUAUAUGUUAUUAUGUUUGGCUGAUUUUGAAUGUAAUUUGGGAUUAUCUUUAUUUUCUAUUUUUUUCAAUUUUUUUUAUUUUUCUUGAUUUUUAUUAUUUUUUACAGAACUCCGCGGAUAUCCGCGGAGACCCCGGUCCCCGGCGGAUACGGGGUCCCCGUUACCCGUAGCGGGGACGGGGCGGGGACGGGGACAUGUUUUGGAGGCGAGGGACGGGGGGCGGGGGGCAUGUCCCCGCCCCCAUGGGGACCCGUUGGCAUCCCUAUAUGAAAUGUUGUAUACGGUUGGGUUGUGUUAAUUUAAACUUAUAUGAAUGUUAUACUUAAAAGUUUAACUAUAAGAUGAUGUAAAUGAUGAUGAAUUGUGGCUAGCCUUUUCGUUGUAGAUAUUGGCAGGUUGAUUGUUAAGAUAGAGGAAUGGUGAAAGAUUUUAUAAUUGGCAGGUUUAUUGUCACUAUUUUUUUAUAUUUUUUUUAUUAAUAGCAUGAAUAUUUUUGUUUAGAAUUAUUGUAUGUUCACUUAUCUAUGUCAUCGUAUUUUUUUAAUAGAAUUUUUAGUCUUCGUUGUUCA